Molecule: long non-coding RNA, 561 nt
Organism: Sinocyclocheilus grahami
Lineage: Eukaryota; Metazoa; Chordata; Actinopteri; Cypriniformes; Cyprinidae
Exons: 3
Source: RefSeq, a predicted model, not a curated record
GUGGCGAUAUGCACCUAGAAGCUGGUCUGCAACUCGCCACUAAACCCACAGAAGAAGAAGCAGCAGCAGCAGCAGCAGCUGUAGAGUAGAGUCCAGUCUUCUGAGGAGAGAAAUUCAGCUGAAAUAUUCCCAUCAGUUUAUCAAUGCAGACGAGCAUCAAAGCAUCAGGAAGAAAUCUGUAAAAACUGAGUUUAUUAAAGAGGACAGAGAGAAGAUGAGAGAUCCAGAACCCUGCAGAAUCAAACACACGGAAGAUACUGAAGAACUAACAGAGUUGAUUGAAGAAAAUGAGCAGAAUGAAGAAUUGAGUGAAGUUGAAGAGAAAAAUCACUUCAAAACUGGAGAAAAACCUUUGAGUUGCUGUCAAAGAAAACGGGUAAGAUUAAAGAAAACAAGAGCCAAGAAAUCUUUCACCUGCACUCAGUGUGGAAAGAGUUUGACAUCCAAACAUAGUCUUGAUGUUCACAUGAGAAUUCAUACAGAAGAGAAACCGUUUACUUGUGAUCAGUGUGGAAAGAGUUUCACACAAUCAGCAAACCUUAAGUAUCACAUGAACAUCCA